GAGGAGAGGAGGAGGGGGGAGGAAGAGGAGGAGGAGAAGGAGGAGGAAGAGGAGAGGAAGAGGAGGAGGAACACAAAGGCUACGUUCAGACUGCAGGCAAAAGUGACAGGUAAAACAGG
Alosa sapidissima (American shad) is the source of this 119-nucleotide long non-coding RNA. RefSeq lists it as uncharacterized. NCBI's taxonomy places the organism in Eukaryota, Metazoa, Chordata, Actinopteri, Clupeiformes, Clupeidae. The record is from RefSeq and is a predicted model, not a curated record. The transcript has 2 exons.